UUUAGAGGACUAGAUUUUUCUAAAGGGGGAGAUUGUUAUAGACUAAAAUGAUGUUGUUUUAGGAAACCCCAAAAUGGUGUCAUUUUAGACGUAAAAAAGAAUAAAAAUAGAAUCAGAGGUGUACAUGCCUCUAGUGGAAGAAAAAGAAGAAGAGACUUAUAUGUCGGAGAAGAACAGGCAUGUAGGAGUCUCCCACCCUAUUAUAAAAACAAAAGGAGUCAAAGGGAGGGGGAGAGUUGCGCAAGAAAAAAAAAAUAAAAAAAAGAGAAGAAGAGUUAUGUGAAGAGAAAGAAAGGGAGCUAUUCGCAUAGAAGAAAGAAGGGGAGAAAGAGAGACAAAAGGAGGCUGCAAUAGAUCCGACCAGUGUGAGGUAGAUCAUGGCAAGAGCAGGCGAAAGGCAAGGUAGUGUUGCCUAUACGCAUCUGAGUCGAAAGGAAAUAAUGACAACUAGUUGAACUGCUCGAGGAAGAAGGACGUGUGUGCGGCGAUUCUGUUGAAGAAGGAAUGUCGAUCUAUGCGCACGAUGUUGGCUUGAGAUGAUCCAACAAUAAGGAUCUGCAUGCGUGAGGG
Molecule: long non-coding RNA, 570 nt
Filed under: Carica papaya (papaya)
Lineage: Eukaryota; Viridiplantae; Streptophyta; Magnoliopsida; Brassicales; Caricaceae
Description: long non-coding RNA (CPAP_LNC011580)
Source: RNAcentral